Molecule: ribosomal RNA, 433 nt
Filed under: uncultured bacterium
Lineage: Bacteria
Description: partial 16S ribosomal RNA
Rfam family: Bacterial small subunit ribosomal RNA
Source: RNAcentral
AACGAACGCUGGCGGCAUGCCUAACACAUGCAAGUCGAACGAUACCUUCGGGUCUAGUGGCGCACGGGUGCGUAACGCGUGGGAAUCUGCCCUUGGUUUCUGGAUAACAGUUUGAAACGACUGCUCAUACCGGAUGAUUACUUCGGUCCAAAGAUUUAUCGCCCAGGGAUGAGCCCGCGUCGGAUUAGCUAGUUGGUGAGGUAAGAGCUCACCAAGGCGACGAUCCGUAGCUGGUCUGAGAGGAUGAUCAGCCACACUGGGACUGAGACACGGCCCAGACUCCUACGGGAGGCAGCAGUGGGGAAUAUUGGACAAUGGGCGAAAGCCUGAUCCAGCAAUGCCGCGUGAGUGAUGAAGGCCUUAGGGUUGUAAAGCUCUUUUACCCGGGAUGAUAAUGACAGUACCGGGAUAAUAAGCCCCGGCUAACUCCGUG